RNAcentral lists this ribosomal RNA (722 nucleotides) under uncultured bacterium. RNAcentral describes it as "bacterial SSU rRNA". It matches the Rfam family "Bacterial small subunit ribosomal RNA", at positions 1 to 724 of the family's 1533-position model. The record is from RNAcentral.
GAAUUCGCCCUUAGAGUUUGAUCCUGGCUCAAGAUGAACGCCGGCGGCGUGCCUAACACAUGCAAGUCGAACGGAGCACUGAGACUUCGGUUUUUGUGCUUAGUGGCGGACGGGUGAGUAACGCGUGAGCAAUCUGCCUUUCAGAGGGGAGAUAACGACUGGAAACGGUCGCUAAUACCGCAUAACGUAUUUUGCAGGCAUCUGCGAGAUACCAAAGGAGCAAUCCGCAGAAAGAUGAGCUCGCGUCUGAUUAGAUAGUUGGUGAGGUAACGGCCCACCAAGUCAACGAUCAGUAGCCGGACUGAGAGGUUGAACGGCCACAUUGGGACUGACACACGGCCCACACUCCUACGGGAGGCAGCAGUGGGGAAUAUUGCGCAAUGGGGGAAACCCUGACGCAGCAACGCCGCGUGAUCGAAGAAGGUCUUCGGAUUGUAAAGAUCUUUUAUCAGGGACGAAGAAAGUGACGGUACCUGAUGAAUAACCUCCGGCUAACUACGUGCCAGCAGCCGCGGAAAUACGUAGGGAGCGAGCGUUUUCCGGAUUUACUGGGUGAAAAGGGCAAGUAGGCGGGCUGGUAAGUGGGAAGUGAAAUGUCGGGGCUUAACCCCGGAACUGCUUUUCAAAACUGGUGGGUCUGGAGAGAAGGAGAGGCAGGCGAAAUUCCUAGUGGAGCGGGGAAAUGCGUAAAAUAUUAAAAAGAACCCCCGGGGCGAAAGGGG